RNAcentral lists this ribosomal RNA (506 nucleotides) under uncultured bacterium. RNAcentral's name for it is "partial 16S ribosomal RNA". It matches the Rfam family "Bacterial small subunit ribosomal RNA", at positions 29 to 523 of the family's 1533-position model. The record is from RNAcentral.
AGUGAACGCUGGCGGUAGGCCUAACACAUGCAAGUCGAACGGCAGCACAGAGGAGCUUGCUCCUUGGGUGGCGAGUGGCGGACGGGUGAGGAAUACAUCGGAAUCUACUCUGUCGUGGGGGAUAACGUAGGGAAACUUACGCUAAUACCGCAUACGACCUACGGGUGAAAGCAGGGGAUCUUCGGACCUUGCGCGAUUGAAUGAGCCGACGUCGGAUUAGCUAGUUGGCGGGGUAAAGGCCCACCAAGGCGACGAGCCGUAGCUGGUCUGAGAGGAUGACAGGCCACACUGGAACUGGGACACGGUCAAGACUCCUACGGGAGGCAGCAGUGGGGAAUAUUGGAAAAUGGGCGCAAGCCUGAUCCAGCCAUACCGCGUGGGUGAAGAAGGCCUUCGGGUUGUAAAGCCCUUUUGUUGGGAAAGAAAUCCAUCUGGUUAAUACCCGGGUGGGAUGACGGUACCCGAAGAAUAAGCACCGGCUAACUUCGUGCCAGCCGCCGCCGUAA